CCUACGGGUGGCUGCAGUGGGGAAUUUUGGACAAUGGACGAAAGUCUGAUCCAGCCAUUCCGCGUGAGUGAAGAAGGCCUUCGGGUUGUAAAGCUCUUUUGUCAGGGAGGAAAUUCCUAAGGCUAAUAUCCUUGGGGGAUGACAGUACCUGAAGAAUAAGCACCGGCUAACUACGUGCCAGCAGCCGCGGUAAUACGUAGGGUGCAAGCGUUAAUCGGAAUUACUGGGCGUAAAGCGUGCGCAGGCGGUUUCGUAAGCUUGAUGUGAAAUCCCCG
This 275-nucleotide ribosomal RNA is filed under the name uncultured bacterium. RNAcentral describes it as "partial 16S ribosomal RNA". It matches the Rfam family "Bacterial small subunit ribosomal RNA", at positions 338 to 605 of the family's 1533-position model. The record is from RNAcentral.